CCGUAGGUGAACCUGCGGAAGGAUCAUUAAUGAAUUCACUAUGGAGUUGUUGCUGGCCUCUAGGGGCAUGUGCACGCUUCACUAGUCUUUCAACCACUUGUGAACUUUUGAUAGAUCUGUGAAGUCGUCUCUCAAGUCGUUAGACUUGGUUUGCUGGGAUGUAAACGUCUCGGUGUGACUACGCAGUCUAUUUACUUAUAACACCCCAAAUGUAUGUCUACGAAUGUCAUUUAAAGGGCCUUGUGCCUAUAAACCAUAAUACAACUUUCAACAACGGAUCUCUUGGCUCUCGCAUCGAUGAAGAACGCAGCGAAAUGCGAUAAGUAAUGUGAAUUGCAGAAUUCAGUGAAUCAUCGAAUCUUUGAACGCACCUUGCGCCCCUUGGUAUUCCGAGGGGCAUGCCUGUUUGAGUGUCAUUAAAUUCUCAAACUCACUCUGGUUUUUCCAAUUGUGAUGUUUGGAUUGUUGGGGGCUGCUGGCCUUGACAGGUCGGCUCCUCUUAAAUGCAUUAGCAGGACUUCUCAUUGCCUCUGCGCAUGAUGUGAUAAUUAUCACUCAUCAAUAGCACGCAUGAAUAGAGUCUGGCUCUCUAACCGUCCGCAAGGACAAUUUGACAAUUUGACCUCAAAUCAGGUAGGACUACCCGCUGAACUUAAGCA
Molecule: ribosomal RNA, 659 nt
Filed under: Pleurotus eryngii
Lineage: Eukaryota; Fungi; Basidiomycota; Agaricomycetes; Agaricales; Pleurotaceae
Description: eukaryotic LSU rRNA
Rfam family: 5.8S ribosomal RNA (bases 263-416)
Source: RNAcentral